Molecule: transfer RNA, 83 nt
Filed under: Mycoplasmataceae bacterium
Lineage: Bacteria; Bacillati; Mycoplasmatota; Mollicutes; Mycoplasmatales; Mycoplasmataceae
Description: tRNA-Leu
Rfam family: tRNA
About the family: Transfer RNA (tRNA) molecules are approximately 80 nucleotides in length. Their secondary structure includes four short double-helical elements and three loops (D, anti-codon, and T loops).
Source: RNAcentral
GCACUCGUGGCGGAAUUGGCAGACGCGCUAGACUUAGGAUCUAGUUCUUGCGAGUAAGAGUUCAAGUCUCUUCGAGUGCACCA